UACGUAGGGUGCGAGCGUUAAUCGGAAUUACUGGGCGUAAAGCGUGCGCAGGCGGUUAUGUAAGACAGGUGUGAAAUCCCCGGGCUUAACCUGGGAACUGCAUUUGUGACUGCAUAGCUAGAGUACGGUAGAGGGGGAUGGAAUUCCGCGUGUAGCAGUGAAAUGCGUAGAGAUGUGGAGGAAUACCGAUGGCGAAGGCAGCCCCCUGGGAUAACACUGACGCUCAUGCACGAAAGCGUGGGGAGCAAACAGG
This 253-nucleotide ribosomal RNA is filed under the name uncultured bacterium. Its description in RNAcentral is "partial 16S ribosomal RNA". It matches the Rfam family "Bacterial small subunit ribosomal RNA", at positions 524 to 776 of the family's 1533-position model. The record is from RNAcentral.